Molecule: non-coding RNA, 557 nt
Organism: Pelobates cultripes (western spadefoot toad)
Lineage: Eukaryota; Metazoa; Chordata; Amphibia; Anura; Pelobatidae
Source: the annotation of a GenBank genome assembly
UGUAUGCAACAUAGUAUAUUUAUUAAACCCUUUUAUUGCCAGAGGUGUGCCUAAUGCAUUGCAAAGUAAUACACUGGAUACACACCUAUGACCUGCAAAGAUUUUUUUAAACAAUUACAAUUUUAAUAACCCAUAUUGCUUCUUUGAGGACGUGGAACAAAUCAUUCAGAACACUGUAUAAAGUUCUAAUGUGUUUGUCACUGAUGGAUACAACCAAUGUUACAGUAUAGAGAUAUUUGCUAUUCGUGGUCUUGAAAUAAUGAUCUUCCAUUCAAGGAAAUUCAAGGUGAAAAUCGGCACAACAGUCUUCAAUAACAAAAUGAGAGAACAAAAAACAAAAUGUGCAAAAAAAAAAAUCUCUCUCUGGUACAUUUGCCCCAAUCAUUUCAUUAACAUUGUUUAUUUUAACAAAACAAUUGCUAACAGAGAAACUACUUCCUUGUUCUUGUAAUACAAAGCAAGGGCAGUUUCGUUCCCCAAAGCUCUGCAAAGUGCAAAUUUUAAUGUUUUGAUGAUUCUUCCACUUUUAAGGCAAAAAAAAAUAAAAUGAAAAUAUU